This is a small nuclear RNA of Callithrix jacchus (white-tufted-ear marmoset), 62 nucleotides long. Its record names the gene U7. It matches the Rfam family "U7 small nuclear RNA". From Rfam's summary of the family: Animal histone pre-mRNAs are spliced by a different mechanism than nuclear pre-mRNAs and self-splicing introns. This processing involves the U7 snRNP, which contains only one RNA species: U7. NCBI's taxonomy places the organism in Eukaryota, Metazoa, Chordata, Mammalia, Primates, Cebidae. The record is from Ensembl.
AAGCUUUAUAGCUCUUUUAGAAUUUGUCUAGCAGAUUUUCCAGUUUUUACUAGAAAACCUCC